Molecule: ribosomal RNA, 468 nt
Filed under: uncultured bacterium
Lineage: Bacteria
Description: partial 16S ribosomal RNA
Rfam family: Bacterial small subunit ribosomal RNA
Source: RNAcentral
GACGAACGCUGGCGGCGUGCUUAACACAUGCAAGUCGAACGGAAAGGCCCUGCUUUUGUGGGGUGCUCGAGUGGCGAACGGGUGAGUAACACGUGAGUAACCUGCCCUUGACUUUGGGAUAACUUCAGGAAACUGGGGCUAAUACCGGAUAGGAGCUCCUGCUGCAUGGUGGGGGUUGGAAAGUUUCGGCGGUUGGGGAAGGACUCGCGGCUUAUCAGCUUGUUGGUGGGGUAGUGGCUUACCAAGGCUUUGACGGGUAGCCGGCCUGAGAGGGUGACCGGCCACAUUGGGACUGAGAUACGGCCCAGACUCCUACGGGAGGCAGCAGUGGGGAAUAUUGCACAAUGGGCGGAAGCCUGAUGCAGCAACGCCGCGUGCGGGAUGACGGCCUUCGGGUUGUAAACCGCUUUCGCCUGUGACGAAGCGUGGGUGACGGUAAUGGGUAAAGAAGCACCGGCUAACUACGUG